GCCUUGAUGGCGGAAUUGGUAGACGCGCUGGAUUCAAAAUCCAGUUCUUUCACGAGAGUGCGGGUUCGAUUCCCGCUCAAGGUA
This 84-nucleotide transfer RNA is filed under the name Flavobacteriaceae bacterium. RNAcentral describes it as "tRNA-Leu". It matches the Rfam family "tRNA". From Rfam's summary of the family: Transfer RNA (tRNA) molecules are approximately 80 nucleotides in length. Their secondary structure includes four short double-helical elements and three loops (D, anti-codon, and T loops). The record is from RNAcentral. Lineage: Bacteria; Pseudomonadati; Bacteroidota; Flavobacteriia; Flavobacteriales; Flavobacteriaceae.